This 5208-nucleotide long non-coding RNA is filed under the name Sus scrofa (pig). RNAcentral describes it as "lncRNA (ENSSSCG00000062543.1)". The record is from RNAcentral. Lineage: Eukaryota; Metazoa; Chordata; Mammalia; Artiodactyla; Suidae.
AGGGUGAAUUUCCUUGCCAUCCAGAAGUAGACUUCUGAGUCACUCAAGUGUUCCUAUCCUCAAAUUAUCCUCACCAAAUAUGACAACCAUUUUACCCACUCAAAGGAACUCCAUCAAAAGUCUAAGAUAAAAAGAAGCAAUUAAAUAAUAAAGAAAACUUUUGACCUACUUUGUUAGGCAGUGAAAAGCACACUUCCAGCUCUGUGCUAUGUAACUGUCAUCAGUGCUUCACCUAAUAAUUUAAUGAGCUGAACAAGUGACAUCUUGGGUGAACACAUGCCUUUUGCGGGUCUUGUUGCUAUGCAAAAAAAAAAAAAAAAAAAAAAAAAAAAGCAUAUAAAAACUGGUCCUUGGUGUUCCCUCAUUUUGUUAAUGAACCUGACUAGCACCCAUAAGGACAUGAGUUCAACCACCAGCCUUGCCCAGUGGGUUAAGGAUCCAGUGUUGCCAGGAGCUGUGGUGUAGGUUGCAGACGACUACAGCUCUGAUUCGACCCCUAGCCUGAGAACCUACAUAUGCCACAGGUGCAGCUCUAAAAAAAACAAAACAAACAAAAAAACCACUAUAAUUUCUUAAAACACAGAUACAUUCCAACAGCCACUUGGAUUUAUACAAAGAUGAUUCCUGUCACUCUUCCUCCUUCCUUCUCAACCAGCUCUUCUCGUAUUUUCCUUCUCCUCCCUCAGAACUGCUGAGUUGGGUUCUAGAUUCCUAUGCUGGUUCCUGGAUUCAAAGCAGAUCCUUCUGAGCCAAGACAUGUCUGCCAGGACGGGCAGUACCAUUUUUAGCUAUGUCUCCCUCCUCUCCUCCCCAACCCCUACCAGAGAAACACUGAUACAUUUAAUGUUCCUUCUUUCCUUUCAGCUGGCAAAGUUUUCUCUGUAUCUGAUGUUUUUCUCUACUUGCUCCAUGCUCUUCUUUUUUCUUUUCUCUUUUUUUUCCCUCUUUCGUGUUCCUCUCUCAGGGAAGGGGUGAUUGAUAAGAAACUGCAGGAACACCAAGAGGCAAUUUUAGAGAAGGAGGGAGCCCAGUAACAUGAUUCUAAAUUGGGAGGGAACAACGGAAAAUCGAAUAUGCUUUAAGCAAUGUCGUAUUACAUUCCUUCUUUGCAGGCCUUUGAAGAUAAGUGUUAAAAUUCUUCCCAUCAUAGAGAUGGAAAACAAAGGACUGAGAGGUUAAGCCACAAUGCCAAAUCUAAUAGAGUAGCACCAAGAUUUGGGCCCAGACAAUGUGAUUCCAGGGCCUAUUCUUACCCUUGUACUUCUCCCUUGAGCUCAGAUUUGAGGAAUGAAUAUGAGUUACAUAAACAAAUAAAUAAAGGAGAGUAAGUUCUUCUAGGCAGAGGGCACAACAUUAUACGGAGGGCUAAAGAAGUGAACCAGCUUAAGAAGUCUGGGGAACCACAAUGUCCACAGGGAAGUAACCAGGAAACAAAAUACCUUGCCAACUUCAGAGACUCUUUAUGACAUAGUUUGGGAGUGGUAAAACACCUCAUAUUUAGGAGACCUGGGUUGGAAUGACAUCUCCAUUGCUGGUUAGUGUGUUACCUAACCCUCCUAAGCCUCUAGCUCCACAUCUCUAAAACAAAUGACACAUAUUUCACAGUUUAAUAGAAAUGAUUUUAAAAGACAACACAUGAAAAAGCUUGUAAACCAUAGUGUUCUAUGCAUUCUCUCACUCUCUCUCCUUCUGUAAUGGAAAGUGGGUCCAGAAGAGGGACUCAGGAAGCAACUGGAGAGUAAAGGACAUUCUAGGGCCUGGGAAAAUCCUGAAGCAACCUUCAGUCUGGAAGUUAUUUUUUUCUAGCCUGAAGUCUGGGAGGUUUAUGAGGCCCAUCCUAACCCAGCAGUACAGAGAAAAUAGUUUGCCAAAGGCAUUAGUCAAGCAGUUUUCCAUUACAGGAAAGCUGCACCUUUGACCCUCUUCAUUUUAUGGAUUUUAUGAAAUACGAUAGAACAGAAAUGACUAAAACAAUGAAACAGAAGACUUUAUAUUUUAAAAACUGAACUUUGAGAAAAUAUGGAGAAACUCCAAAAUUUGUUUAUCCACUGUAGUCCUGGUGGAGGAGGCAGGGUCAGGCUGAAACACAGUCUGAGUGACAGCAAGGCUGACUAGAAGGUGACGAAAUGACCUAUGACAGAAGAUGCCAAGCCCAACAUAAGAGUCACUUCCCUUGGCCACCACUGGGUUUCAGUACAGGGAAUUAUUUGGAGCCAUUUGCAAGUUGUGCAAUACUAGUUGGAGUAAAGGUCAAUAUGUCAAGUGCUGAGGGCUUUUCUCUAUUCCUAAGUUCCACUUCAGGUGCUAAAGAAACAGCAAUAAACAAGACAGGCAAUGUUAUUGCUCUCUUGGAGCCUACAUUCUAGGACCAAGUUGGAUGGGGGUAUAAAUGUACUAGAAAAUUUCAGAUAAAGUACUAAGCAACACAUAGGAAGUGCUCAGUGAUAUCUGUCAACUGAAUGGAUAGAUUAAUGAGGCCUAGGAUUCUCUCAAAAGAUCACCUUUGUGCAGCAAGGCAGUAAAACCACCUUUCUUCACUGGUAAUGCCAUUGAAAGCAGUCAUUCAAAUUCAUUCAGUCAUUCAGCAAACUGUUCUUAUGUGUAUAGUCCAUGCCAGGCACUAUUAGGGGCAGUUGGGGAUAUGAAAUAUAUCCUAGACACUCAAUCACCCUUUUAUUGAGAAAUCUGCUUCUGUUUGUUCUAUCUUCUACUAAAUUUCCCCACUUUCAGAUUCAGCCUGCAAGAACCUCCUUCUAGGAGGGACAUAAAAAGCUCAGGGCCUAAACACAUGCAGAGCCUGGAUGAUCCAGGCUUCCCGAACAGGAGAAGUAGGACAUUUUCACAAGGCAGGUGGUUCCUCACUGGAGUGUCCCAUCAUGCUGAAAAUCUCAUGUUGAACUAGUAGUGACAAUGAAAGUUAAAGGUCAGGCAGGGCAGUGGUCAAUUCUUUCUCAAGCAUGAGCACACAUGUCAUUUAAUUUGUAGGUGGGUCACCCAACCACAGAAUGUUCUGGAAGCCUAAGAUGUCUAGAAGUCCAGAAUGUUCUAGAAGUUUACCUUCUAUACAGAAGAGUGGAAAAUUAUCACGGAGGAAGAGUCUUACUGCUACUAUUUCCACAGAGUAGAGUAGAGCAACUACACUCUAAGUCCUCUUACUGCUGGCACUUUCUAGGCCCACAAACAUGCAUAUAGAGACAAAUAAUUAGGAUGGCUUACUAUUAAUAUAUAAGAUAUGUGAGGAAACAAAUCCAGCCAAUUCUGUAGUGACUUUUCUUCUCUAAACCCCACGAUACCUUUGAGAAAAGCCUAAUCUUUCUUGCCAAAAUAUAGAGCCCUCUUCCAGGUGCCUGUUAAUCCUUCUUUUUAUGAUUAUUUUUUUUAACCAAAGAAAGUUUAUUGAGCUGACAAAACCGUUUAAUUUAUGAUUUCAAAAUUUUGACCAGAAAAGGUUAAGAUUUUUAGUUGUUUAAAGGUUUGGAAUGUGGAAAACAGCCCAGACAAGCAGCCAGAAAAGGCUAAGGAGGAAACACAGGUUCUGAGAGUGGAAAAUAAUCUACCCCCAGAGACUGGAUAGAGAGCAAAUGAAAAUCACAAUUUAGAACAAGAAAGAGCACAUGUAUCUACCUGUAAAUUGUUGUCAAUUUCUUCUAUCCCCCCAAAAAAGACUUAAUAUGCAAGAACAAAUGUAUAUGUCAACUGGGAUUGCCUUCUGGAAAAAAGUCAAUCCAUAAAUCUAAGACAAAAAUAAAUAAGCCACCAUCUUAGGCAAUGUUAUUGAAAAACUGAUAUGGCAAAUCUGGGCUUCAAGCUGAUAAGCUGAGGUUGGAAAACUGGCCCAGGAUUCUGUUUGCUUCCCCCAGAUUUGAGAGAGGUCUAUAAUUGUUGUUCUUCCUAACCUCCACCCCUCCUCUCCCUCCCUCCCAAUACAGGUCCCCUGCCCAGAGAUUAAUGUGACUGCCUUUGUAGCAGGUUGAGAUAUGCUGAGGUAUCAUACUGGCCUCCUUGGCCCUGUAUUAGUUACAGAUCCUAAAAGUCAGCAGUUUGGUUUUUCUAGAUAGGCUUUGGUUAGAUUUCUUACUAUUACUUCACUUCAAGUGGUGGGAAACCGUUUUUCAUUUGAAAUGUACAUACAUCAUCAUAGAUCAUGAGUGAGAACAGUAACAUGACCAGUGUAAAUGUUACAUCCUAAUAUUACUAGCCUAGACUUUGAUAACUCUGUGGGUUGGUUGUUUUGAUUUGUUUUGUUUUGUUUUAGCUACAGAGGAAAACUGAUUAUGACUUAAGCUUUUCUUCAAGGUGGAAAAUUCUAUCAUGAACCUUAGAUUCAGUACUCUGAAUGGGAAGUUCAGCCCUUUUUUUUUGGAUACUUGGUGGGGUUGAUGGAUUCCUGGACAGAUGGUGGUGGGAGGCCACCACUACCCAUUCCUCCAGAUCAGUAGCUCUAUUUCAGGCUGUAGGUAACAGAACAAACUCAUUCGUAGAAGGCUGGUUCUAAAAAAUGCAACUGAAUAUUGUCCUAAGGAAUGAAUCCUAGAGGGGAACAAGACAGCCCAUGAAGGAGAGGGCUAUCUUAUCUUCAGAACUAAGGGCCUGACAUGGAGGAAAUGUUCUAUAAACAAUAUUUUGAAUAACUUGAAGUACCCUUUUCCUCACUGGUCUAUUUAUCAAGCAUCUGAGAAAACAUCAAAAGCUGAAAUCACACCUUUGUUCAAAUAUCUCACCUUCCCUCACUAAUGAAUAUUUUGCUGGCAUUCCCAAUGGCUAACAGAAAGAACUGACUGAACUCUCCUGUGCUCAAGCUCUCUUUCAUCUUUAAAAGCUGAAGGAUCCCUCACCUGUAAAACCUGUACUGGCCUUGGCUUGAUAUUGGUCCUUUUCUGUUCCAUCUUUCUGUUUCUUUUCUGAUGGUGUUCCAUCACCACAUCUUUACUUUCUGCAGAAGAUCAGUAACGUAUCUAAAGGCUGGAAACACAAAGGUCUAGACAAUUUACAAACACCCCAGUCAUCUUCUGAAUAAUAAAAUGCCCAAGGCAAUAUAUAGGUCAAGGAAGAGGGUGAUUUUCUGUUGAUCUGUGCUCCAUUGCGUGUAUGUGGCAUUCUUCUUCUUCUUCUUUUUUUUUUUUAAGAAUACUCUGUUUGAAAUGUGGGUGCUCUACUUUUAUCCUACCCAGAAAAGAAGAUUUUUUACUUAAAAAUAUUUGUUUACUU